Molecule: ribosomal RNA, 425 nt
Filed under: uncultured bacterium
Lineage: Bacteria
Description: partial 16S ribosomal RNA
Rfam family: Bacterial small subunit ribosomal RNA
Source: RNAcentral
GUGGGGAAUCUUGCGCAAUGGGCGAAAGCCUGACGCAGCCAUGCCGCGUGAAUGAUGAAGGUCUUAGGAUUGUAAAAUUCUUUCACCGGGGACGAUAAUGACGGUACCCGGAGAAGAAGCUCCGGCUAACUUCGUGCCAGCAGCCGCGGUAAUACGAAGGGGGCUAGCGUUGCUCGGAAUUACUGGGCGUAAAGGGCGCGUAGGCGGACAGUUUAGUCAGAGGUGAAAGCCCAGGGCUCAACCUUGGAAUUGCCUUUGAUACUGGCUGUCUUGAGUUUGGGAGAGGUGAGUGGAACUCCGAGUGUAGAGGUGAAAUUCGUAGAUAUUCGGAAGAACACCAGUGGCGAAGGCGACUCACUGGCCCAAUACUGACGCUGAGGCGCGAAAGCGUGGGGAGCAAACAGGAUUAGAAACCCCAGUAGUCC